GUUGGCGGCAUGGAUUAGGCAUGCAAGUCGCGCGCAAGCCUCUUUUAGCUUGCAUUUGAGGUGAGGAGCGGCGUAAGGGAGAGUAAACGGGUGGAUUAUCUACCCUCAGGUCAGGGAUAGCUGCGGGAAACUGCAAGUAAUACCGGAUAAUAUCUGCGGAUCAAAGGUGUGAUUCCGCCUGGGGAUGAGUCCGCCUCCUAUUAGCUUGUUGGUGGGGUAACGGCCUACCAAGGCUACGAUGGGUACCCGGUGUGAGAGCAUGGCCCGGCUCACUGGGACUGAGACACUGCCCAGACACCUACGGGUGGCUGCAGUCGAGAAUCUUCGGCAAUGGGCGCAAGCCUGACCGAGCGAUGCCGCGUGCGGGAUGAAGGCCGUUCGGGUUGUAAACCGCUGUCAGUAGGGAAGGAAAUGCUAUGGGGCAAUCUCCAUAGUUUGACCUAUCUUCAGAGGAAGGACGGGCUAAGUUCGUG
This 473-nucleotide ribosomal RNA is filed under the name uncultured bacterium. RNAcentral's name for it is "bacterial SSU rRNA". It matches the Rfam family "Bacterial small subunit ribosomal RNA", at positions 35 to 507 of the family's 1533-position model. The record is from RNAcentral.